ACCAGACUCCUACGGGAGGCAGCAGUGGGGAAUAUUGGGCAAUGGGGGAAACCCUGACCCAGCGACGCCGCGUGAGGGAAGAAGGUUUUCGGAUUGUAAACCUCUGUCCUUGGUGACGAUAAUGACGGUAGCCAAGGAGGAAGCCACGGCUAACUACGUGCCAGCAGCCGCGGUAAUACGUAGGGGGCAAGCGUUAUCCGGAUUCACUGGGCGUAAAGGGAGCGCAGGCGGCACGGCAAGUCUGAUGUGAAAACCCAGGGCUCAACUCUGGGACUGCAUUGGAAACUGCCGGGCUGGAGUGUCGGAGGGGUAAGCGGAAUUCCUAGUGUAGCGGUGAAAUGCGUAGAUAUUAGGAGGAACACCAGUGGCGAAGGCGGCUUACUGGACGACUACUGACGCUGAGGCUCGAAAGCGUGGGGAGCAAACAGGAUUAGAUACCCCCGUAGU
Molecule: ribosomal RNA, 447 nt
Filed under: uncultured bacterium
Lineage: Bacteria
Description: bacterial SSU rRNA
Rfam family: Bacterial small subunit ribosomal RNA
Source: RNAcentral